This 459-nucleotide ribosomal RNA is filed under the name uncultured bacterium. RNAcentral describes it as "partial 16S ribosomal RNA". It matches the Rfam family "Bacterial small subunit ribosomal RNA", at positions 338 to 795 of the family's 1533-position model. The record is from RNAcentral.
CCUACGGGUGGCAGCAGUGAGGAAUAUUGGUCAAUGGACGAGAGUCUGAACCAGCCAAGUAGCGUGAAGGAUGACUGUCCUAUGGGUUGUAAACUUCUUUUAUAAAGGAAUAAAACGAGGCACGUGUGCCUUUUUGCAUGUACUUUAUGAAUAAGGAUCGGCUAACUCCGUGCCAGCAGCCGCGGUAAUACGGAGGAUCCGAGCGUUAUCCGGAUUUAUUGGGUUUAAAGGGAGCGUAGAUGGGUUGUUAAGUCAGUUGUGAAAGUUUGCGGCUCAACCCCAUCCAGCCGUUGAAACUGGGGAUCUAGAGUGUGCGAGAGGUAUGCGGAAUGCGUGGUGUAGCGGUGAAAUGCAUAGAUAUCACGCAGAACCCCGAUUGCGAAGGCAGCAUACCGGUGCACAACUGACGCUCAGGCACGAAAGCGUGGGUAUCGAACAGGAUUAGAUACCCCUGUAGUC